RNAcentral lists this transfer RNA (355 nucleotides) under uncultured Microcystis sp. RNAcentral's name for it is "partial 16S-23S ribosomal RNA intergenic spacer". The stretch from base 132 to 205 matches the Rfam family "tRNA". Lineage: Bacteria; Bacillati; Cyanobacteriota; Cyanophyceae; Chroococcales; Microcystaceae. The record is from RNAcentral.
AAGGGAGACCUAAUUCAGGUAUGGGACGAAAAAAAAGUAGUCGCUACCAAGAAUCAAUCCCAAAAGGUCGGAGCGAGGUAUGAGGCUUUCAAACUAGGUUCUGGGUUCAAACAAGACCUGAAUCAGGAACAAGGCUAUUAGCUCAGGUGGUUAGAGCGCACCCCUGAUAAGGGUGAGGUCCCUGGUUCGAGUCCAGGAUGGCCCACCUGCACAGGUGGCAAAAACAAGAGAAGCGAGGAAUCAGCACCUUAUCUUAUCUAUAUAUAAGAGAGAAUGCUGGCUCUGAGUAAAGAGUCCAGAGGAACCUUGAAAACUGCAUAGAGCUAGGUGAAAAAGCCAAAAAAGAAGACCGCAA